This is a long non-coding RNA of Drosophila sulfurigaster albostrigata, 1498 nucleotides long. RefSeq lists it as uncharacterized. Lineage: Eukaryota; Metazoa; Arthropoda; Insecta; Diptera; Drosophilidae. The transcript is spliced from 4 exons. The record is from RefSeq and is a predicted model, not a curated record.
UCGUAGAUUCAUUUAACAUUUUGUGGUCUUUCGGACAACACCCGAAGCGGAAGUCUUCAGCUCAGUAAUUAUUACGAUACAAUAUCCAAAUUUUCUCUCACAAGAGUCGAAUUACAAAAAUUAGGCGAUCCGCGCAUUAAACACAAAUUAUUGGAGUUAAGUAUAUAUGAUCUGUAAAUACUGUGUACGGAAAUGAUGCUGAUGCAGAGAUGACAUUUUCUAGUUACGCUGGCGAGCAGGAGAUAUACAUACAUAUCUGGAAUGGAUUUAUCUGAACAAUAGCCGAAAUUGUAAGUAGUAUUAUGAUUGCAAUUUUGAUAUUGUGAUGAAUUAGCCAAAUUGCAUUUCAAUUGUGAUUAAGGCUGAAAGUUGUAACUGAAAACUCUUAGAAAUAAACAUAAUGACACCAUAGCGAUGACUGUCAUCCAUCGACCAUCGAGUCCAUCGUUUUUCCAUAAUAUUUCUGAUUGCCCUUCUCUGAUGCCAAAAUAAAGUUCUUAUUGAACCUUUCGGGCUGUUGUAACAUUGGACUGGCGACACAACUGUAAUAAAUGAUAAUUCAGCUUCAUAAAUAAGUCAUCAACGGAAAAAUCUUCAAAUAUGUAUACAGAAACUGAAAUAUAAAAAAGUGUAUACAUCUUAGUACGUGAAUGUCAAGAAGGAAAUCGAAAAUCAGCGUAUUCUAUGAAUGCAACUUGACAUUGGAACUGGAAUAUGUUACAUCACCAACUGGAAUAUAGCAACGCAAGUAACAAAGGGCAAGUAGACCGUAUUAUUGGGUUCAAAAAACAAUUAAACUUACAAUCGCGAUUAAUACUAUAUUGCAGAAUUUCAUAAUAAUAGUAUUCAUAACACAAAGAUCAAGAGAAUCUGUUUAAUCAGUUUACUGCACAUUUUGCAAUUGCAAUUGAGAGAUCAACUGGGAAAGAAACUUCUCUAGAAAAGGAGCAAAUACCAUAUGUUUAGUUAAAAACAUUAAAAUGUACGUAGUAAGAAAUAUAAGCGAUUAAUAGUUCUAGUAUAAUUCGGCAAAAAAAAACUAAACUAAACUAAAAAAAAACUUUAAUCUAAGCAAUCGAAGGAGACAAUUCAAAAACUUUUAUAAGGGAACAAAUCAUUGUUUGAUAGCAUGUUUGUAAACAUUUUAUGCUCAUAUAAAAUAACAAUCCGUUAAUGAAAAACUGUAAAUUUACAAAAUAAUAUAAAUUAAUGAUUGCACUUGCAUAACAGCCAAUAAUAGGCUGUUAAAUUAGUAAAUUUAAUAUUGUAUUUAAAGUUCAUAAGGAUAAAUCCAUAAAUAGCACUUAUUUAAAAGCAAGAAAAGCAAAAAAGCAAUUUCCAAGACUUCUAUCAGUAACACAAUAUAUGGAUAUAUGUAGAUAGAUAACAAGAUAUAGAUAGUGUAACUAAGAUACUUUUAAACCAGACAUUUUGAACUUUAAUUUUGGUUGGCUCCAAUAGAAUUUUAUAUUUUGGCACAACUCACAGUCAUGCUUAA